CGUGCCAUUUCUUUGAUAUUCAACAUCAUGGGAAAUCAACCUAAUUAAGACUGCCAUAAUCGGCCCUCAAUAUUGUGCUCCAGCUACACAUCCCGUUGAUUUGAUAAUCACAAGGGAUAUAAGUUUGAGAGUUAAUUUCACUAUCAAAGAUAUCAACAAAAAUGUUGUUUUCAAAGUUAAAAGUCCUCUUGCAACCAUUCUAACACCUCGCCAACACAGAUUCUUAUAUGAUGCUAAUGGAAACCUCAUUCUCCAUCUUCAAGAAUCGCUGCUUGUAAAGGAUAGUUGGAAAGCAUUUAGAGGUGAAAGUAUAGAACCAAAGCAUCUAAUCUUUAGAAAGAAGAGAUCCUCUUUACUUCAGCUAAAGACAAAAUUAAAUGUGUUUUUGGCAAGUAACAACACAGGAGUUUGUGACUUCACUGUCAAAGGAAGUUUUUUUGGACUGUCUUGGAAGGUUUACAGUGGCAAUUCCAAUAUUGUUGUUGCUAAGAUAAUUAAGCUUGGAGGUAUAUUUAGUAGGGAAAAGUUCAUAGUCAACAUAUGCCCGAACAUCGAUUGUGCAUUCAUUGUGGCUCUCAUUGUGUCACUCCCCAAAUGAAAUUAAACGUAUCUUCAUCGCUAUUUUUUAAAUGUGUAUUUUUUUUUUCUGCAAUUGUAAAGAUAAAUAAGG
RNA transcript from Trifolium pratense (red clover), 670 nucleotides. It is a transcript of the gene named protein LURP-one-related 15-like, with no coding region annotated. NCBI's taxonomy places the organism in Eukaryota, Viridiplantae, Streptophyta, Magnoliopsida, Fabales, Fabaceae. The transcript is spliced from 4 exons. The record is from RefSeq and is a predicted model, not a curated record.